CGGGAAACUGUAGCUAAUACCGUAUAUUCCAGUAAUGGGAAAGAUUUAUCGCUAUAAGAUUGGCCCGCGCAAGAUUAGCUUGUUGGUGAGGUAAAAGCUCACCAAGGCUUCGAUCUUUAGCUGGUUUGAGAGGAUGAUCAGCCACACUGGGACUGAGACACGGCCCAGACUCCUACGGGAGGCAGCAGUAGGGAAUAUUGGACAAUGGGGGCAACCCUGAUCCAGCAAUGCAGCGUGAGUGACGAAGGCCUUAGGGUUGUAAAACUCUUUCAUCGGUGAGGAUAAUGACAGUAGCCGAAGAAGAAGGACCGGCUAAUUCCGUGCCAGCAGCCGCGGUAAUACGGAAGGUCCUAGCGUUGUUCGGAAUUACUGGGCGUAAAGCGCAUGUAGGCGGAACAGAAAGUUAGAAGUGAAAUCCCUGGGCUCAACCUAGGAAUUGCUUUUAAAACUUCUGUUCUGGAAUUCAGGAGAGGAAAAUGGAAUUUCCAGUGUAGAGGUGAAAUUCGUAGAUAUUGGAAGGAACACCAGUGGCGAAGGCGAUUUUCUGGACUGAUAUUGACGCUGAGAUGCGAAGGCAUGGGUAGCAAACGGGAUUAGAUACCCCGGUAGUCCAUGCAGUAAACGAUGGGUGCUAGUCGUCGGACUUUUGUUCGGUGUCGUAGCUAACGCGUUAAGCACCCCGCCUGGGGAGUACGGUCGC
This 700-nucleotide ribosomal RNA is filed under the name uncultured Alphaproteobacteria bacterium. RNAcentral describes it as "bacterial SSU rRNA". It matches the Rfam family "Bacterial small subunit ribosomal RNA", at positions 150 to 889 of the family's 1533-position model. Lineage: Bacteria; Pseudomonadati; Pseudomonadota; Alphaproteobacteria. The record is from RNAcentral.